RNAcentral lists this ribosomal RNA (1140 nucleotides) under uncultured archaeon. RNAcentral's name for it is "bacterial SSU rRNA". It matches the Rfam family "Archaeal small subunit ribosomal RNA", at positions 313 to 1448 of the family's 1478-position model. The record is from RNAcentral.
GCCCCAGGCCCUACGGGGCGCAGCAGGUGCGAAAAUUCCGCAAUGCGUGCAAGCGCGACGGAGUGACCCCCAGUGCCGAUGGUCUAACGAUCGUCGGCUUUUCUGGAGUGUAAAAAGCUCUGGGUAAUAAGGGCCGGGUAAGACUGGUGCCAGCCGCCGCGGUAACACCAGCGGCUCAAGUGGUAGUCGAUUUUAUUGGGUCUAAAGCGUCCGUAGCCGGAUCGUCAAGUCCCUUGUGAAAUCGGGCGGCUUAACCGCUCGGCUUGCAAGAGAAACUGACGUUCUUGGGGUCGGCAGGCGCCGAGGGUACUCCGGAGGUAGCGGUGAAAUGCUAUAAUCUUCGGGGGACCGCCGGUGGCGAAAGCGCUCGGCGGGGCCGAACCCGACGGUGAGGGACGAAGGCCAGGGGAGCGAACCCGGAUUAGAUACCCGGGUAGUCCUGGCUGUAAAGUAUGUGGGCCAGGUGCCAGACGUUCCUCGAGAGCGCUUGGUGCCGAAGGGAAGCCGUUAAGCCCACCACCUGGGGAGUACGGUCGCAAGACUGAAACUUAAAGAAAUUGGCGGGGGAGCACCACAAGGGGUGGAGCCUGCGGUUUAAUUGGAUUCAACGCCGGACAUCUCACCGGGGGCGACGGCAGAGUGAAGGCCAAGUUGACGACUUUGCCGGACUCGCCGAGAGGUGGUGCAUGGCCGCCGUCAGCUCGUAUCGUGAGACGUCCUGUCAAGUCAGGUAACGAGCGAGACCCUUAUCCUUAGUUGCCAGCGGAUCCCUCUGGGAUGCCGGGCACUCUAAGGAGACCGCUGUCGAUAAGGCAGAGGAAGGAGAGGGCGACGGCAGGUCCGUAUGCCCCGAAUCCCCCGGGCAACACGCGGGCUACAAUGCGCGGGACAGAGGGCUGCGACCCCGAGAGGGGAAGCCGAUCCCUAAACCUGCGCCUAGUUCGGAUCGAGGGCUGCAACUCGCCCUCGUGAAGCUGGAAUCCCUAGUAAUCGCGUGUCACUAUCGCGCGGUGAAUACGUCCCUGCUCCUUGCACACACCGCCCGUCAAGCCAUCCGAGUGGGAUUUGGAUGAGGCUUACUCGACAUGAGUGGGUCAAAUCCGGGUUCUGCAAGGAGGGCUAAGUCGUAACAAGGUAACC